GAUGAACGCUGGCGGCGUGCCUAAUACAUGCAAGUCGAACGGGGAGUAGCAAUACUCUUAGUGGCGAACGGGUGAGUAACGCGUUGGUACCUGCCCCGAAGCGGGGGAUAACGGACCGAAAGGUCCGCUAAUACCCCAUGUGCUCGGUAACGAGUAAAGGUGAAAACCACUUUGGGAGGGGCCUGCGUCCCAUCAGCUAGUUGGUAAGGUAACGGCUUACCAAGGCGAUGACGGGUAGGGGACCUGAGAGGGUGGCCCCCCACAAUGGAACUGAAACACGGUCCAUACACCUACGGGUGGCAGCAGUAGGGAAUAUUGGUAAUGGGCGCAAGCCUGAACCAGCAACGCCGCGUGUGCGAUGACGGCCUUCGGGUUGGAAAGCACUUUUGACUGGGACGAGGAAGGACGGUACCGGUCGAAUCAGCCUCGGCUAACUACGUG
Molecule: ribosomal RNA, 441 nt
Filed under: uncultured bacterium
Lineage: Bacteria
Description: partial 16S ribosomal RNA
Rfam family: Bacterial small subunit ribosomal RNA
Source: RNAcentral